Molecule: RNA transcript, 1545 nt
Organism: Propithecus coquereli (Coquerel's sifaka)
Lineage: Eukaryota; Metazoa; Chordata; Mammalia; Primates; Indriidae
Gene name: protein disulfide-isomerase A3-like
Exons: 2
Source: RefSeq, a predicted model, not a curated record
CAUGGCUCUGCGGGUCUCAUGGUGGUCGAGUUCUUUGCCCCCUGGUGUGGACACUUCAAGAGUCUUGCCACUGAAUGUGAAGCUUGCAGCUACCAGAUUAAAAGAAAUAGUCCCACCAGGAAAGGUUGAUGGCACUGCCAACAAAAUCACUUGUGAAAGUAUAGAGUCAGUGGAUGUCUGACCCUGAAGAUAGAGAUGGUGAAGAAGCAGGUGCUAUGACGGGCCUGGGACUGCCCAGGGAAUUGUCGGCCACCCAAAGAAGCAGGCAGGACCAGCUUCCGCUCCUCUCAGGACUGAGGAAGAAUUUAAGAAAUUCACUGGUGAUAAACCCCCUCUGUAGGGGGUUUUCUCAAGGAUUUAUUCAGUGAAGCUCACUCUGAGUUUCUAAAAGCAGCCAGAAACUUGAGGGAUGAUUACUGAUUUGCACACACCAACGUGCCAUUUCUGGUGAACGAGUAUGAUGAUAACAGAGAGGGUUUCACCUUAUUUUGUCCUUCGUAUCUGAUUAACAAGUUUGAGGAUGAGACUGUGGCAUAUCCAGAGCACAAGAUGACCGAUGGCAAGACUAAAAAGUUUAUCCAGGAAAACAUUUUUGGUGUCUGCCCUCACAUGACGGAAGACAAUAAAGAUUUGAUACAGGGCAAGGACUUACUAAUUGCUUAUACAAUGUGGACUAUGAAAAGAAUACUAAAGGUCCCAACUACUGGAGAAGCAGAGUAAUGAUGGUGGCAGAGAAAUUUCUGGGUGCCAGACACAAACUCACGUUUGCUGUAGCUAGCUGUGGAAGCUUCAGCCAGGAACUUUCUCAUUUGGGCUCGGAAGGCACUGCUGGAGAGAUUCCUGGUGUUGCUAUCAGAACUGCUAAAGGAUGAAGUUUGUCAUGCAGGAGGAGUCCCCGCAUGAUGGCAAGGCUCCUGAGAGGUUCCUGCAGGAUUACUCUGAUGGCAACCUGAAGAGAUACCUGAAAUCUGAGCCUGUCCCAGAGAGCAGUGAUGGGUCCUAAAGGUAGUAGUAUCAGAAAAUUUUGAUGAAAUAGUGAAUAAUGAAAAUGAAGAUGUGCUGAUCAAAUUUUAUGCUCCUUGGCAUGGUCACUGUAAGAAUCUGGAGCCCAAGUAUAAAGAACUGGGAGAGCAACUCAGCAAAGACCCAAGUAUUGUUAUAGCCCAGAUGGAUGCCAUAGCCAGUGAUGUGUCUUCUCCACAUGAAGUCAGGUUUUCCUACCAUCUACUUCUCUCCAGCCAACAAGAAGUUAAAUCCAAAGAAAUAUGAGGGUAGCUGUGAAUUGAGUGAUUUUAUUAGCUUUCUACAGUGAGAAGCUACAACCCCCCCCCCCCCAAUAAUUCAAGAAGAAAAACCUAAGAAGAAGAAGAAGGCACAGGAGGAUCUCUAAAGCAGCAGCCAGACACACUUUGUAAAAGGACUCUUCCACCAGGGAUGGGAAAACCAUGGGGGAGGACUGAGACCCAUAUGGUAUUAUUACCUCUCAGGGCUGAGAGGGCACAAUGAGUAUAAUCUGAAUCCUAUUAAAAUGUUCUCUAAACUGUU